Molecule: small RNA, 310 nt
Filed under: Mus caroli (Ryukyu mouse)
Lineage: Eukaryota; Metazoa; Chordata; Mammalia; Rodentia; Muridae
Description: sRNA (MGP_CAROLIEiJ_G0008782.1)
Source: RNAcentral
ACGUGUGAGGUUAGUCUUGCUGAGAUAUUCCACCCCAUUGACCAGCUCAUCUGGCCAGCUGUGUAGGUGUUCUUGUCUCCCAUCUCCACUCUAUGGGCACCCAUCUUAAAGCUGCAUACUGGAUCAAAGAUGAUUGCUCUCUGUUCAGGGGUACAGGAGUAACCUGUUCACCCUGACUAGAGCCUCAAAACAAGCCUCAAACUUAGUAAACACAACAUUAAAGCUUAAAAUACUAGGUAUGGUUUUCAGAUUAUUGUUGAUGUAAUGGCAUAAACAAAGAACCCACAUAAGGAAGGAAAGCUUGUGUUUG